GACGAACGCUGGCGGCGUGCUUAACACAUGCAAGUCGAACGGAAAGGCCCUGCUUUUGUGGGGUGCUCGAGUGGCGAACGGGUGAGUAACACGUGAGUAACCUGCCCUUGACUUUGGGAUAACUUCAGGAAACUGGGGCUAAUACCGGAUAGGAGCUCCUGCCGCAUGGUGGGGGUUGGAAAGUUUCGGCGGUUGGGGAUGGACUCGCGGCUUAUCAGCUUGUUGGUGGGGUAGUGGCUUACCAAGGCUUUGACGGGUAGCCGGCCUGAGAGGGUGACCGGCCACAUUGGGACUGAGAUACGGCCCAGACUCCUACGGGAGGCAGCAGUGGGGAAUAUUGCACAAUGGGCGGAAGCCUGAUGCAGCAACGCCGCGUGCGGGAUGACGGCCUUCGGGUGGUAAACCGCUUUCGCCUGUGACGAAGCGUGAGUGACGGUAAUGGGUAAAGAAGCACCGGCUAACUACGU
RNAcentral lists this ribosomal RNA (467 nucleotides) under uncultured bacterium. RNAcentral's name for it is "partial 16S ribosomal RNA". It matches the Rfam family "Bacterial small subunit ribosomal RNA", at positions 28 to 506 of the family's 1533-position model. The record is from RNAcentral.